GGCAUUGUGGUUCAGUGGUAGAAUUCUUGCCUUUCAUGCAGGAGACCCAGGUUCAAUUCCUGGCCAAUGUACCU
Non-coding RNA from Loxodonta africana (African savanna elephant), 74 nucleotides. The record is from the annotation of a RefSeq genome assembly. Lineage: Eukaryota; Metazoa; Chordata; Mammalia; Proboscidea; Elephantidae.